GAGUUGAUCAUGGCUCAGAAGCGAACGCUGGCGGCAGGCCUAACACAUGCAAGUCGAACGAACUUCUUCGGAGUUAGUGGCGGACGGGUGAGUAACACGUGGGAACGUGCCUUUAGGUUUGGAAUAACUCAGGGAAACUUGUGCUAAUACCGAAUGUGCCCUUCGGGGGAAAGAUUUAUCGCCUUUAGAGCGGCCCGCGUCUGAUUAGCUAGUUGGUGAGGUAAAGGCUCACCAAGGCGACGAUCAGUAGCUGGUCUGAGAGGAUGAUCAGCCACAUUGGGACUGAGACACGGCCCAAACUCCUACGGGAGGCAGCAGUGGGGAAUCUUGCGCAAUGGGCGAAAGCCUGACGCAGCCAUGCCGCGUGAAUGAUGAAGGUCUUAGGAUUGUAAAAUUCUUUCAGUAGGGACGAUAAUGACGGUACCUACAGAAGAAGCCCCGGCUUA
RNAcentral lists this ribosomal RNA (446 nucleotides) under Brevundimonas sp. BAL51. Its description in RNAcentral is "bacterial SSU rRNA". It matches the Rfam family "Bacterial small subunit ribosomal RNA", at positions 9 to 500 of the family's 1533-position model. The record is from RNAcentral. Lineage: Bacteria; Pseudomonadati; Pseudomonadota; Alphaproteobacteria; Caulobacterales; Caulobacteraceae.